GAUCAUGGCUCAGGAUGAACGCUAGCUACAGGCUUAACACAUGCAAGUCGAGGGGCAGCAUGAACUUAGCUUGCUAAGUUUGAUGGCGACCGGCGCACGGGUGAGUAACACGUAUCCAACCUGCCGAUGACUCGGUGGAUACGUCCUUUACGAAAAGAAAGUAAUUAACUACCCGAGUGGCAUUAGUUUCCUUCCGCAGUGGUAAGAACUUAAUUAAAAGUAAGUUUCGGUCAUCGAGGUGGGGAUGUCCGUUCCUAG
This 258-nucleotide ribosomal RNA is filed under the name uncultured bacterium. RNAcentral describes it as "partial 16S ribosomal RNA". It matches the Rfam family "Bacterial small subunit ribosomal RNA", at positions 15 to 248 of the family's 1533-position model. The record is from RNAcentral.